This 23-nucleotide small nuclear RNA is filed under the name Arabidopsis thaliana (thale cress). Its description in RNAcentral is "snRNA_05547". The record is from RNAcentral. Lineage: Eukaryota; Viridiplantae; Streptophyta; Magnoliopsida; Brassicales; Brassicaceae.
GCUUAGAAGCAGUAAACAGUUUU